CCGAGUUUACAACUCCCAAACCCCUGUGAACAUACCCUUAUGUUGCCUCGGCGGAUCAGCCCGCGCCCGUAAAACGGGACGGCCCGCCAGAGGAACCCUAAACUCUGUUUCUAUAGUGGAACUUCUGAGUAUAAAACCAUAAAUAAAUCA
RNAcentral lists this unclassified non-coding RNA (150 nucleotides) under soil metagenome. Its description in RNAcentral is "partial internal transcribed spacer 1". The record is from RNAcentral.